GCUUUUUCUUCCCAAACAAACCCUACAUUACCUUUUCCGUUAUUUAUACAGAGAAGAAAAGAAGAAACGGCGGCUACAAAUGAUGAAGAAAUGGAGUCUCUGCUUCGCACCUUCGAUCAUAUAUACGAUGAUGUGAAGAAUGGAAUCACACAGAUUCAAUCCUUGCAAUCAAAUUGCAACGCCGAAGUUAAUAAUGGACAAGUUCUUCAACUCAUUUCCAAUAGCCUCAAACCAGCUUGAACGUCGGACCAAUUGCCAGAGCUUGAAAGAAGAAUUGGAGAGAACGAGAAUUGAAUAU
This is a non-coding RNA of Camellia sinensis, 298 nucleotides long. NCBI's taxonomy places the organism in Eukaryota, Viridiplantae, Streptophyta, Magnoliopsida, Ericales, Theaceae. The record is from RefSeq and is a predicted model, not a curated record.